AGCGAACGCUGGCGGCAGGCCUAACACAUGCAAGUCGAACGAACUCACCGGAGUUAGUGGCGGAUGGGUGAGUAACCCGAGGGAACGUGCCCAUUGGUUCGGAAUAACUCAGGGAAACUUGUGCUAAUACCGAACGUGACCUACGGGGGAAAGAUUUAUCGCACUUGGAGGGGCCGGAGUCUGAUAAGCUAGUUGGUGCGGUAAUGGCUCAACAAGGCGACAAUCAGUAGCUGGUUUGAGAGAAUGACUAGCAACACUGGGACUGAGACCCGGCCGAGACUCCUACGGGAGGCAGCAGUGGGUGAUCGAGCACAAUGGGCGAAAGGCUGACGCAGCCAGGCCGCGUGAAUGAUGAAAGUCUUAAGAUUGUAAUGUUCUUUCACCGAUGAAGGUAAUGACGGUACCCGGAGAGAAAGCCCCGGCUAACUUCGUG
This 433-nucleotide ribosomal RNA is filed under the name uncultured bacterium. RNAcentral's name for it is "partial 16S ribosomal RNA". It matches the Rfam family "Bacterial small subunit ribosomal RNA", at positions 29 to 507 of the family's 1533-position model. The record is from RNAcentral.